ACCAGACUCCUACGGGAGGCAGCAGUUAGGAAUAUUCGUCAAUGGAGGAAACUCUGAACGAGCAAUGCCGCGUGAACGAUGAAGGCCCUAUGGGUUGUAAAGUUCUGUUGUUUGGAACGAAUAACUAGAAGAGGAAAUGCUUUUAGUCUGACGGUACCAUUCAAGAAAGCCACGGCUAACUACGUGCCAGCAGCCGCGGUAAUACGUAGGUGGCGAGCGUUAUCCGGAUUUAUUGGGCGUAAAGCGUGCGCAGGCGGUUUGUUAAGUCUAAAAUUAAAGCCCGAAGCCUAACUUCGGUUCGUUUUAGAAACUGGCAGACUUGAGUAUGGUAGAGGCAAAUGGAAUUUCUAGUGUAGCGGUAGAAUGCGUAGAUAUUAGAAGGAACACCAGUGGCGAAGGCGGUUUGCUGGGCCAUUACUGACGCUCAUGCACGAAAGCGUGGGGAGCAAAUAGGAUUAGAUACCCCAGUA
Molecule: ribosomal RNA, 470 nt
Filed under: uncultured bacterium
Lineage: Bacteria
Description: bacterial SSU rRNA
Rfam family: Bacterial small subunit ribosomal RNA
Source: RNAcentral